GAAAACAAACUAAAGCAUUUUCCUAAGGCAGAGAAACGAAGACGCUAUGCAGAGAAACAGCUACGAAGACGCUAUGCAGAGAAACAGCUCUUCCUCUUUGAUUUUUCAGUCACCAGUGUUGAAGCUUUUCCUCUUCCUUUUCUCAUUGUUGCAGUUUUUCUCAUUUUAACUUCUUGCAGAUGCAAGUUCUUGAAUUUUGCAAAGAAUACAAGAUGUCGGCAAUG
Molecule: long non-coding RNA, 224 nt
Filed under: Citrus maxima (pomelo)
Lineage: Eukaryota; Viridiplantae; Streptophyta; Magnoliopsida; Sapindales; Rutaceae
Description: long non-coding RNA (CMAX_LNC002685)
Source: RNAcentral